AAAAAGGCAAACAUUAAAUUUUCGUGCCAAUAUUUGACUAUCUGUCUUAUAUGAAAAUUUUUUAUAAUUAGUAUUUUUAUUGUUGUUAGAUGAUAAAACAUGAUUAAUACUUUAUGUGUGACUUGUCUUUUUAAAUUUUUUUAUAAUUUUUUUAAAUAAGACGGACGGUUGGACGGAGGGAGUAGUACCCAAA
This 193-nucleotide microRNA precursor is filed under the name Oryza barthii. RNAcentral describes it as "MIR812 microRNA precursor family". It matches the Rfam family "MIR812 microRNA precursor family". The record is from Rfam by way of RNAcentral. Lineage: Eukaryota; Viridiplantae; Streptophyta; Magnoliopsida; Poales; Poaceae.